CCCCUUAGAUGUCCUGGGCCGCACGCGCGCUACACUGACAUGUUCAACAAGCCUCCUAGUUCGACAGGAUUUGGGAAAUCUUUGAACGCAUGUCGUGAUAGGGAUAGAUCAUUGCAAUUAUUGAUCUUGAACGAGGAAUUCCUAGUAAACGCGAGUCAUCAGCUCGCAUUGAUUACGUCCCUGCCCUUUGUACACACCGCCCGUCGCACCUACCGAUUGAAUGUUUCGGUGAAGAUUCCGGAUAGGACUUUUUUGAUUUAUUUCAAUUUUGUCUUAAAAGCUAUCUAAACCUCAACAUUUAGAGGAAGGUGAAGUCGUAACA
This 322-nucleotide ribosomal RNA is filed under the name uncultured eukaryote. RNAcentral's name for it is "partial 18S ribosomal RNA". It matches the Rfam family "Eukaryotic small subunit ribosomal RNA", at positions 1469 to 1796 of the family's 1831-position model. The record is from RNAcentral.